GAAGAUAUAUGGAAUAGGGUAAAAGGUGAGAUUCUGUGGUCCAAAUUGGGGCCAUGUUCGCUGUAACAGCAGACCUCCAGAAAAUUGGAGAGGGAGGUAAAUGUUGUUUUGUAAACUGCCUCAGAUUUGUAAAGUGCUUCAGAUUUUUCCUCUUUGAUAUGCUAGUUAAUUUGUUUUGGUUUUUUUGUGUGUAGAUUGUUAAUGCUUACCUCACGUGGGUGGCAAAAAUGGUCCAUGUCAAAGUGAUUGACACCUUUUGAGACGACGGCAAUUUGGAAUGGCACAUCAAAGGGGAUUAGAAAGAAGGAAGAGACACAGACUGACCGCUCCCUUCACGGAGAGCAAGAUCGCCGCUGAGCCCCGACGUCGGCCGCUGUUUUCCUUUGCUGCCCCGACAGGAACAGUUUCGCCAGUGCACAUGGCUUCGUCAGCGUCCGAGCAUGAGAGAAACUCCGCUGGACAAACCCAAACAAACUGACACAUCCAUCAAUCGCUAGCCAAGAGCGAUUUCAAGUAAGAGGCUUGCGUCUGGGCAGAGAUAGAUUUUAUAACAGUGUGUUUUAUAACUUACUCUGUGUGCUUUCCUCUCUCUUCUCUCGCUCCACUAACCUACACACCUUAACACGUACAUUUACAUGCUUAUACGCAUCUCAAACGGCCCAGAUAACAUGUAGCUUAGCCAGUUAAGCUGCAUGUUAUUUUGAGGACAAAUAGAGUUUUAUCUCUAUCCCUUUAUUUAAGAUUUGCGGGUCUGCCCGCCAUUUGGUUUUGUGCGUGACGACCACCCAUGUGGCCGCCACCUUCCUUGCACCCCCUCUCUCUAUUGUCCCACACACACGUUAUAUGCUUGCUCACUGAUGUAUGCUUAUUGUGUUUAGACUGUGGUUGUUGAUCAAAGUUAUUGAUUGUUAAUCACUGCCAAAUGUGCCAAAGACAAUGAUGGUGCACUUCUACACUGCCAUCAUAGAGUCCAUCCUCACCUCCUCCCAUCACCAUCUAAUAUGCUGCUGCAACUGCCAGGGACAAGCGCGGAUUGCAGCGGAUCAUCUGCUGUGCUGAGAUGGUGAUCGGCUGCAACCUGCCGUCAUAUUGCCGUUCUGAUUCAUAUUCUAGGAGAAGUUCUUUGCAUGGAUCAUAUGUUAGCUGCAACUACUUGCUCACCCUCUUCUCCCUUUCAUGGUAUGCUUUUUUUCCUCCAGGAAUGUCAUGUUGUACAGAUUGUAACACUAUCUGAGACCAAUUUGAUUUUGGCCUGUCCUAAAUAAAAUGAACUUGACAGUU
Molecule: long non-coding RNA, 1281 nt
Organism: Siniperca chuatsi (mandarin fish)
Lineage: Eukaryota; Metazoa; Chordata; Actinopteri; Centrarchiformes; Sinipercidae
Exons: 2
Source: RefSeq, a predicted model, not a curated record